GUCGACGGCAGCGGGUCAGUAGCAAUACUGAUGCCGGCGAGUGGCGGACGGGUGAGGAAUACAUCGGAAUCUACCUUGUGGUGGGGGAUAACGUAGGGAAACUUACGCUAAUACCGCAUACGACCUACGGGUGAGAGCGGCGGACCGCAAGGCGUCGCGCGAUUGGAUGAGCCGAUGUCCGAUUAGCUAGUUGGCGGGGUAAGAGCCCACCAAGGCGACGAUCGGUAGCUGGUCUGAGAGGAUGAUCAGCCACACUGGAACUGAGACACGGUCCAGACUCCUACGGGAGGCAGCAGUGGGGAAUAUUGGACAAUGGGCGCAAGCCUGAUCCAGCCAUGCCGCGUGUGUGAAGAAGGCCUUCGGGUCGUAAAGCACUUUUGUUGGGGAAGAAAAGCAUCCGGUUAAUACCCGGGUGUUCUGACGGUACCCAAAGAAUAAGCACCGGCUAACUUCGUGCCAGCAGCCGCGGUAAUACGAAGGGUGCAAGCGUUACUCGGAAUUACUGGGCGUAAAGCGUGCGUAGGUGGUUCGUUAAGUCUGUCGUGAAAGCCCCGGGCUCAACCUGGGAAUGGCGAUGGAUACUGGCGGGCUAGAGUGCGGUAGAGGAGAGUGGAAUUCCCCGGUGUAGCAGUGAAAUGCGUAGAGAUCGGGAGGAACAUCAGUUGCGAAGGCGGCUCUCUGGACCAGCACUGACACUGAGGCACGAAAGCGUGGGGAGCAAACAGGAUUAGAUACCCCUGGUAGUCCACGCCCUAAACGAUGCGAACUGGACGUUGGGAGCAUCAGGCUCUCAGUGUCGAAGCUA
This 805-nucleotide ribosomal RNA is filed under the name uncultured bacterium. RNAcentral describes it as "bacterial SSU rRNA". It matches the Rfam family "Bacterial small subunit ribosomal RNA", at positions 61 to 854 of the family's 1533-position model. The record is from RNAcentral.